AUUGUGAUUGGAUGGUUCAUGGCAACUCUUCUUCAACUACCACCCAUAAAAGGCAAACAAUCAAUUGCUACUCUGGCUGUCCGUCAGCUUCUGAGCUUUCUUCAUUAUGGUCUUUUGUUUUGGACUUCCCCUCUACUGCUGAAUCUACUUGCGAGCAGGAGUUGGGACUGAUGAGCAUCGCUGAGAAUAGCUCCACUAGCAAAUGGGGUCCUAAUGAGAAUGCAAUUAACCAAAAUGUAUCAGGUGCUGUUCCUGCUGAUAAGGCACGUGAUAUGGCUAAAUCAAGUGUUUAUGAUGGAACUUCUUCAAUGCCUGAAUUGAUCUCUAUGUCAAACAAUCCAGAGCAGCCAGUAGGAUCUGCAAAUGCGCCUUUGCCAAAGUUAUGCUGUCCUGGAACUAA
RNAcentral lists this unclassified non-coding RNA (400 nucleotides) under Hevea brasiliensis (rubber tree). The record is from RNAcentral. Lineage: Eukaryota; Viridiplantae; Streptophyta; Magnoliopsida; Malpighiales; Euphorbiaceae.